UACGUCUUCUAGUUUGAUCCUGGCUCAGUGCGGCUGGAUAGCUUGCUCUUAUGAAGAUCGCGGCGGACGGGUGAGUAACACGUGGGUAACCUGCCCAUAAGACUGGGAUAACUCCGGGAAACCGGGGCUAAUACCGGAUAACAUUUUGAACCGCAUGGUUCGAAAUUGAAAGGCGGCUUCGGCUGUCACUUAUGGAUGGACCCGCGUCGCAUUAGCUAGUUGGUGAGGUAACGGCUCACCAAGGCAACGAUGCGUAGCCGACCUGAGAGGGUGAUCGGCCACACUGGGACUGAGACACGGCCCAGACUCCUACGGGAGGCAGCAGUAGGGAAUCUUCCGCAAUGGACGAAAGUCUGACGGAGCAACGCCGCGUGAGUGAUGAAGGCUUUCGGGUCGUAAAACUCUGUUGUUAGGGAAGAACAAGUGCUAGUUGAAUAAGCUGGCACCUUGACGGUACCUAACCAGAAAGCCACGGCUAACUACGUGCCAGCAGCCGCGGUAAUACGUAGGUGGCAAGCGUUAUCCGGAAUUAUUGGGCGUAAAGCGCGCGCAGGUGG
This 557-nucleotide ribosomal RNA is filed under the name Bacillus cereus. RNAcentral's name for it is "bacterial SSU rRNA". It matches the Rfam family "Bacterial small subunit ribosomal RNA", at positions 1 to 578 of the family's 1533-position model. The record is from RNAcentral. Lineage: Bacteria; Bacillati; Bacillota; Bacilli; Caryophanales; Bacillaceae.